AGAGUCUUUCUUUUUUCUCCUCCCUAUCCAAUUAUUACUGACUCUGGGAGCACCACCAACCUACAAUAAUUAUUAGAUACCUUCCUUAAGGAUCUCUAAGCGUAAUACUGUUGGUUAUUUGAACAGGUUUUUACAAUUCUUGUAUAAAUCUAUGUUCUUCACUAUAAUAUUCUUCCUGUGCGGAACCAAACCAAACCUUCCUGUUGUCCUUUGAAAGGUUGCAGGCAUUUUGGUGACGAGAAGGUGGUUUAAGAGUGAAGAGGUAGCAGUGUUUUGUGUUUUCUGAGUAGACAUGGCUUCCAGGCAAGUGGUAGAGAGAGGAGGAGGCUGGUAGAGGAGGAGGAGGAGGAGAAGGCCACAUCCCAGCAGCACCUUGUGUCUGACACAGAGGCAGGAGAGGAGGUGCAGGAGACUGCUGUGGAGGCCACUGAGGUGGAGGAGGAUGAAGAGGCUGGGACAUCAGCACAAGGCAGGACCAGGGCUGUAUUUAUUUGAGGAGAACUGCACUAUAGCCCAUGUCAUGGUGCACGUGUACCAUGCCUGCUGGGUGAACAGACGUACAGGACUCCUAGAAGAAGGCCAUGUGGAGGUCGAUCCAAGACGCAGUCAAUGCGGUUAGCUCCUGCUGUCAGGAUCUGAAAAAUGUGAAGAGAUAUGGAGACAUCAAGAGGGUCCUGAAGGGCAAGAUGACAGAGGAAGAGUUCAAACAAAUCAUCCCUCCGUAGGUCGUCCCAGGUGUGCCUAUAGUGGACACGGACCGCCCAGUGUCACCACCUCAUCCUGCUGCUGUACGUCAGCGUAGAGCUCCACCAAAAAGGCGGUGGCAAGAGACAGACACAAAGGAGGCUGGUGUCUUUUAAAAACACACACACACACACUUUACACCCAUUACACUUAUUACACGGUUUUGUGGCCAUAUUAUGGAGCACCAGACCAGCCAGCUGGACUACAUUGGGCGGCAAAUGUGGCGGAAGAAUAGAACUGCGGCAGUGGCACAGGGCACCCGUACCUGGAUGGCCUUGCAGAUCAAUAGUUGCCUGCAGGAGCUGACCCAGGAAACAAUGAAGCGGACGGAGGUGACCCAGGAUCAACUGCAGGCAACCCCGGAGUACACACAGGCCAUCCAGGAUCAAACCCAGAUGUUUGCGGCCCUGCAGAGGGAGCUGGUGGCUCAAAGAGCAGGCCGCGAGGGGCCAACUUCAACAACAGCCAGCUUCCUCCACUCUGGCACACAGAGUGGCUCACCAGUCACCCCCAAAAGGCAUAGUGCCCACUGGGGGAGGGGGGGGGGCAUCAAGGGGCUUUCUCCUCCCAAUGAUUUUUGUUUUUUCCCCCUUCUUUGCUUUCUUUCAAACAACUAUAUUCUGUUGACAAUUGUGUCCAUUUUUUCAAAAUUAAGUAAAGUGUCCUUUAUAAAAA
This is a long non-coding RNA of Pseudophryne corroboree (corroboree frog), 1419 nucleotides long. RefSeq lists it as uncharacterized. The transcript is spliced from 2 exons. The record is from RefSeq and is a predicted model, not a curated record. Lineage: Eukaryota; Metazoa; Chordata; Amphibia; Anura; Myobatrachidae.